RNAcentral lists this ribosomal RNA (2917 nucleotides) under Salmonella enterica subsp. enterica. RNAcentral describes it as "partial 23S ribosomal RNA". It matches the Rfam family "Bacterial large subunit ribosomal RNA". Lineage: Bacteria; Pseudomonadati; Pseudomonadota; Gammaproteobacteria; Enterobacterales; Enterobacteriaceae. The record is from RNAcentral.
GUUAAGCGACUAAGCGUACACGGUGGAUGCCCUGGCAGUCAGAGGCGAUGAAGGGCGUGCUAAUCUGCGAUAAGCGCCGGUAAGGUGAUAUGAACCGUUAUAACCGGCGAUACCCGAAUGGGGAAACCCAGUGUGACUCGUCACACUAUCAUUAACUGAAUCCAUAGGUUAAUGAGGCGAACCGGGGGAACUGAAACAUCUAAGUACCCCGAGGAAAAGAAAUCAACCGAGAUUCCCCCAGUAGCGGCGAGCGAACGGGGAGGAGCCCAGAGCCUGAAUCAGCAUGUGUGUUAGUGGAAGCGUCUGGAAAGGCGCGCGAUACAGGGUGACAGCCCCGUACACAAAAGCGCAUGUGCUGUGAGCUCGAUGAGUAGGGCGGGACACGUGGUAUCCUGUCUGAAUAUGGGGGGACCAUCCUCCAAGGCUAAAUACUCCUGACUGACCGAUAGUGAACCAGUACCGUGAGGGAAAGGCGAAAAGAACCCCGGCGAGGGGAGUGAAAAAGAACCUGAAACCGUGUACGUACAAGCAGUGGGAGCACCCUUUUGGGUGUGACUGCGUACCUUUUGUAUAAUGGGUCAGCGACUUAUAUUCUGUAGCAAGGUUAACCGAAUAGGGGAGCCGGAGGGAAACCGAGUCUUAACCGGGCGUUAAGUUGCAGGGUAUAGACCCGAAACCCGGUGAUCUAGCCAUGGGCAGGUUGAAGGUUGGGUAACACUAACUGGAGGACCGAACCGACUAAUGUUGAAAAAUUAGCGGAUGACCUGUGGCUGGGGGUGAAAGGCCAAUCAAACCGGGAGAUAGCUGGUUCUCCCCGAAAGCUAUUUAGGUAGCGCCUCGUGAAUUCAUCUCCGGGGGUAGAGCACUGUUUCGGCUAGGGGGCCAUCCCGGCUUACCAACCCGAUGCAAACUGCGAAUACCGGAGAAUGUUAUCACGGGAGACACACGGCGGGUGCUAACGUCCGUCGUGAAGAGGGAAACAACCCAGACCGCCAGCUAAGGUCCCAAAGUCAUGGUUAAGUGGGAAACGAUGUGGGAAGGCCCAGACAGCCAGGAUGUUGGCUUAGAAGCAGCCAUCAUUUAAAGAAAGCGUAAUAGCUCACUGGUCGAGUCGGCCUGCGCGGAAGAUGUAACGGGGCUAAACCAUGCACCGAAGCUGCGGCAGCGACGCUGAUGCGUUGUUGGGUAGGGGAGCGUUCUGUAAGCCUGCGAAGGUGGCCUGUGAGGGUUGCUGGAGGUAUCAGAAGUGCGAAUGCUGACAUAAGUAACGAUAAAGCGGGUGAAAAGCCCGCUCGCCGGAAGACCAAGGGUUCCUGUCCAACGUUAAUCGGGGCAGGGUGAGUCGACCCCUAAGGCGAGGCCGAAAGGCGUAGUCGAUGGGAAACGGGUUAAUAUUCCCGUACUUGGUGUUACUGCGAAGGGGGGACGGAGAAGGCUAUGUUGGCCGGGCGACGGUUGUCCCGGUUUAAGCGUGUAGGUGUGUGUUCCAGGUAAAUCCGGUUCACUUUAACACUGAGGCGUGAUGACGAGGCACUACGGUGCUGAAGCAACAAAUGCCCUGCUUCCAGGAAAAGCCUCUAAGCAUCAGGUAACAUCAAAUCGUACCCCAAACCGACACAGGUGGUCAGGUAGAGAAUACCAAGGCGCUUGAGAGAACUCGGGUGAAGGAACUAGGCAAAAUGGUGCCGUAACUUCGGGAGAAGGCACGCUGACACGUAGGUGAAGUGAUUUACUCACGGAGCUGAAGUCAGUCGAAGAUACCAGCUGGCUGCAACUGUUUAUUAAAAACACAGCACUGUGCAAACACGAAAGUGGACGUAUACGGUGUGACGCCUGCCCGGUGCCGGAAGGUUAAUUGAUGGGGUCAGCGCAAGCGAAGCUCCUGAUCGAAGCCCCGGUAAACGGCGGCCGUAACUAUAACGGUCCUAAGGUAGCGAAAUUCCUUGUCGGGUAAGUUCCGACCUGCACGAAUGGCGUAAUGAUGGCCAGGCUGUCUCCACCCGAGACUCAGUGAAAUUGAACUCGCUGUGAAGAUGCAGUGUACCCGCGGCAAGACGGAAAGACCCCGUGAACCUUUACUAUAGCUUGACACUGAACAUUGAGCCUUGAUGUGUAGGAUAGGUGGGAGGCUUUGAAGCGUGGACGCCAGUCUGCGUGGAGCCGACCUUGAAAUACCACCCUUUAAUGUUUGAUGUUCUAACGUGGACCCGUUACCCGGGUUGCGGACAGUGUCUGGUGGGUAGUUUGACUGGGGCGGUCUCCUCCUAAAGAGUAACGGAGGAGCACGAAGGUUGGCUAAUCCUGGUCGGACAUCAGGAGGUUAGUGCAAUGGCAUAAGCCAGCUUGACUGCGAGCGUGACGGCGCGAGCAGGUGCGAAAGCAGGUCAUAGUGAUCCGGUGGUUCUGAAUGGAAGGGCCAUCGCUCAACGGAUAAAAGGUACUCCGGGGAUAACAGGCUGAUACCGCCCAAGAGUUCAUAUCGACGGCGGUGUUUGGCACCUCGAUGUCGGCUCAUCACAUCCUGGGGCUGAAGUAGGUCCCAAGGGUAUGGCUGUUCGCCAUUUAAAGUGGUACGCGAGCUGGGUUUAGAACGUCGUGAGACAGUUCGGUCCCUAUCUGCCGUGGGCGCUGGAGAACUGAGGGGGGCUGCUCCUAGUACGAGAGGACCGGAGUGGACGCAUCACUGGUGUUCGGGUUGUCAUGCCAAUGGCACUGCCCGGUAGCUAAAUGCGGAAGAGAUAAGUGCUGAAAGCAUCUAAGCACGAAACUUGCCCCGAGAUGAGUUCUCCCUGAGACUUAGAGUCUCCUGAAGGAACGUUGAAGACGACGACGUUGAUAGGCCGGGUGUGUAAGCGCAGCGAUGCGUUGAGCUAACCGGUACUAAUGAACCGUGAGGCUUAACCUUACAACGCCGAAG